GAUGAACGCUGGCGGCGUGCCUAAUACAUGCAAGUCGAGCGUACAGACGAGGAGCUUGCUCCUCUGACGUUAGCGGCGGACGGGUGAGUAACACGUGGAUAACCUACCUAUAAGACUGGGAUAACUUCGGGAAACCGGAGCUAAUACCGGAUAAUAUAUUGAACCGCGUGGUUCAAUAGUGAAAGACGGUUUUGCUGUCACUUAUAGAUGGAUCCGCGCCGCAUUAGCUAGUUGGUAAGGUAACGGCUUACCAAGGCAACGAUGCGUAGCCGACCUGAGAGGGUGAUCGGCCACACUGGAACUGAGACACGGUCCAGACUCCUACGGGAGGCAGCAGUAGGGAAUCUUCCGCAAUGGGCGAAAGCCUGACGGAGCAACGCCGCGUGAGUGAUGAAGGUCUUCGGAUCGUAAAACUCUGUUAUUAGGGAAGAACAAAUGUGUAAGUAACUAUGCACGUCUUGACGGUACCUAAUCAGAAAGCCACGGCUAACUACGUG
RNAcentral lists this ribosomal RNA (497 nucleotides) under uncultured bacterium. RNAcentral describes it as "partial 16S ribosomal RNA". It matches the Rfam family "Bacterial small subunit ribosomal RNA", at positions 28 to 507 of the family's 1533-position model. The record is from RNAcentral.